Molecule: long non-coding RNA, 283 nt
Filed under: Physcomitrium patens
Lineage: Eukaryota; Viridiplantae; Streptophyta; Bryopsida; Funariales; Funariaceae
Description: long non-coding RNA (PPAT_LNC002027)
Source: RNAcentral
GGUCUCUAGACGUUACAGAGAAACCCGAACAACCCAAACUGCUAAUCUUCGAUACCGCUUUAUACUCACGAUCUUGUAUCCACUAACUGUCUCGUUACAUUAAUCCAACAAAUUUCAUUCACUCCGCAUACUCAAUCCUAUAGACACCCUUUUAAUUUUCCAAUCACAGACGUAACUUCAAUUUCACAAAACAACCAAGAGUAAUCACACCCUCUUCAUUAAAAAUUCCGAUUCACCAUUACAACACUGACUUCAGCAACGAUUGCCUCACUCUUCUCAAAAC